GAUGAACGCUGGCGGCGUGCUUAACACAUGCAAGUCGAACGGACUCAUAUUGAAACCUAGUGAUUUAUGAGUUAGUGGCGGACGGGUGAGUAACGCGUGGAAAACCUGCCGUAUACCGGGGGAUAACACUUAGAAAUAGGUGCUAAUACCGCAUAAGCGCACAGCUUCGCAUGAAGCAGUGUGAAAAACUCCGGUGGUAUAUGAUGGUUCCGCGUCUGAUUAGCUAGUUGGCGGGGUAACGGCCCACCAAGGCAGCGAUCAGUAGCCGGCCUGAGAGGGUGAACGGCCACAUUGGGACUGAGACACGGCCCAA
Molecule: ribosomal RNA, 313 nt
Filed under: uncultured bacterium
Lineage: Bacteria
Description: bacterial SSU rRNA
Rfam family: Bacterial small subunit ribosomal RNA
Source: RNAcentral